UUCUCUCUCUCGACGAUUUCGACUCCCAAAUCCAGACACAAACGCACAGAUCAUCCACAGCAGAAGCCAUCGUCAAGCCGCAACCGCUGCGUGCUCAAAUUUCCCCAAAUCAUCUAUUCCUCGAUCGUUUUUGCUCAGAUUUGGAGGCGGAAUUGAGCUGAAUUUAACGAACGUAAAUCGCAUCGCAUCGCACAUGCGGCGUUCGAUGGCAUGCACCACAUAGGAUACGUGGCCUCGCCGCCGUUGGUUUCGAUUUAGGCGUGAAUUGGAUAAUACGAUGUCGCAUCUGCUGGUGAAACUGCGGCGGCAGGCGGUGGCGCCAUGCAUGACAUGCCCGCUCUGCCACAAGCUCUUCCGCGAGGCCACCACUAUCACCGAGUGCCUCCACACAUUUUGCAGGAAGUGUAUAAACAAGAAGCUCUCAGAUGAGGAAAUGGAAUGCUGUCCAGUAUGCAAUAUUGAUUUGGGAUGUGUUCCAUUGGAAAAGUUGAGGCUGGACCAUAAUUUGGAAGAUGUGAGGGCAAAAAUAUUCCCUUAUAAGAGGAUGAAAGUGAGAGCUCCUGAAGUUGUAUCUCCUGUUACAUUACCUGCUAAGAGAAAGGAAAGAUCUCUCUCAUCAUUGGUAGUUAGCACUCCUAGGGUUUCAACUCAGAGUGGAAUAACUGGACGACGAUCAAAAUCCAUAACCAGGAAAGCAUCAAGAGGUUCCAGUUUCACUAUAGAGAAACCUAUUAUAAAAGAAGAUAACUCCAUGGAUGAUCACCAUGAAAACUCUAACUCACCUGAGACACUAAAUAGAUCUACUCAGAAUAUGAGGCAGAGUUCUGUUGCUAGUGAUCCAUCCAAUCACCCUAGUCCUGAUAAGGGAAGAGAGAACGGAUCUGAGACUUGGGAAGAGAUGGGUGAUCUUUGGAAACCAUUGAAUUGUUUGGUGGAGGCAGCAAAUAGAAGCAAGUCUUCAAAGUGUAACAUGCAAGGAGAUCUAGCUAAAUCAGAAGCUCCAAAUUCCCAUGACAACGAGGGACCUCCAAAUAAAAGCAGAAGUAAAGAAAACAGGCAGAAACCAAAGGUUCAAGAUUUCAAGAAUUUCAAUGACCACAUCCCUCCAGAUUCUGGAAGGCCCAAAAAGUUCCGCAAAGCUCGUCAAAAGAAGGCGCAGGAAUUCGCAGAAUUUAGACUCCCUCCCCAGGUUGUGUUAGGUGCUGGUGCUAAAUUCGACCGCAAGAAUCAUCCAAUUUGGUUUUCACUGGUAUCAGAUGGGCAGGAAGGCGAUGCACUGUCCUUGCCUCAGAUAGCUGCAAGUUACUUGAGAAUUAAGUGAGUUUGGACAAACUACUAUUAUCUUAACAUUUUCUUGUAUUGCACAACUAGAAUGAUUAAAAAUUAUCCUUGGUAACUUAACUUGGUCAGAAUGAACCUUCAGAUGCUAGUAUUGCGUUACGAGAGUAAGUUCCUCGAAAAGAUAUGUACAAAUGUAUUUGGUAUUUAUGAAACUGCCCUCAUAAUUUAGAUCAUUUGGGCGUGAAUGUAUUUUGGUUGGACCAAAUCAAUAGAAUUCACAGCAAUAGUCAUUCGUUGUUAAGUUUUUCUAACUUAGGUAUGACUUUGAUAUCUGAAAAGUUUCAUGUUGGCACAGUUUUCUUCCAAAAACAUUUAUACGCUUGAACGUUUUACUCGUAACACAUUUCCACUCUUCAAAGACGCCUCUAAGCAUCUCUUUACAAUGUAAGACUUGUUAAGUCAACUGAACUAUUUGACUAUUUCCCUUUUCUGCAAGGAAUUGCUUCCAGUGUAAUAAUAUGCUUAUCAUCUGUUCAUGCAUAUACUAUCUCUACCUACAUAUUUUAGGCUUCUGCUGCUUUUGCUCAGUGCUUCAGCUUUUGAUUUUACGUGACUAUAGUCUAUAAUUGUGCUUGUAUCAGUGAUGCAACAAUAUCUGGGAUUUUUUAGGAUGACUAUUGUUAUUGGCAGGCUAAAUUUCUCCACAGCAUACAUCUAUGAUUUCAGUGCUGAUAUAUAUAUUUACAGAUUACCACUCAAUCAUUUGGGUCUGUUUUGCCUGUUUGGAGGAUCUUUUUUAAUGGUGGAUCAGGGCUAUUUUCUUAUUAUGAAUAGCUGCCUCUUAUCAUAUAAUUGAAUCCAAAUGCAUAUUACAAAAGUCCUUGGCUUGCUCUUAGAUAUGAAUUGUGUAACCAAUCCUCAUGCAUUGUCUUGCUUUCCGAUAUUGCUUCGUGCUUAAUUUCUCUACAUAAAACAUGCUUAUCGUUUUCUUUGUUGGUUGGUUUUUCAACCAUUGUAAUCAUUUGAUGCCAUGGAAUAUCUCAGUAGCAAUCUAGCAAGAGAAAGUCAGUUUGAACUUAAUGAGGAAGAGCUCAUACUUGCAGGAGGUUUCUAAUAUACACAAAAUUAGUUUGUUUUUCUUCCCCGCUUCAUGAAUUUUUCUUAGCUAUGUUUUUCAGCCAGAGAAAUAGCAGAAUUCUGAAUUUGGUUAGUCUCCACUUUCAUUUGUAAUCAUGCUUCAUCACUAUUUUGAUCUUGCCUUUCUGCGCAUUCGUUCUCGGUGAUCUUCUUGAGGAGGUUUAAGUACAUAAGGAAAUCAUAAGUGGAUGGGGGCAUGCCGGUUUCUUGCAUUCA
Salvia splendens (bonfire salvia) is the source of this 2634-nucleotide RNA transcript. It is a transcript of the gene named E3 ubiquitin protein ligase DRIP2-like, with no coding region annotated. The transcript is spliced from 7 exons. Lineage: Eukaryota; Viridiplantae; Streptophyta; Magnoliopsida; Lamiales; Lamiaceae. The record is from RefSeq and is a predicted model, not a curated record.